GACGAACGCUGGCGGCGUGCUUAACACAUGCAAGUCGAACGGAAAGGCCCUGCUUUUGUGGGGUGCUCGAGUGGCGAACGGGUGCGUAACACGUGAGUAACCUGCCCUUGACUUUGGGAUAACUUCAGGAAACUGGGGCUAAUACCGGAUAGGAGCUCCUGCUGCAUGGUGGGGGUUGGAAAGUUUCGGCGGUCGGGGAUGGACUCGCGGCUUAUCAGCUUGUUGGUGGGGUAGUGGCUUACCAAGGAUUUGACGGGUAGCCGGCCUGAGAGGGUGACCGGCCACCUUGGGCCUGCGAGACGGCCCAGACUCCUACGUGAGGCAGCAGUGGGGAAUAUUGCACAAUGGGCGGAAGCCUGAUGCAGCAACGCCGCGUGCGGGAUGACGGCCUUCGGGUUGUAAACCGCUUUCGCCUGUGACGAAGCGUGAGUGACGGUAAUGGGUAAAGAAGCACCGGCUAACUACGUG
This 468-nucleotide ribosomal RNA is filed under the name uncultured bacterium. Its description in RNAcentral is "partial 16S ribosomal RNA". It matches the Rfam family "Bacterial small subunit ribosomal RNA", at positions 28 to 507 of the family's 1533-position model. The record is from RNAcentral.